This 280-nucleotide ribosomal RNA is filed under the name uncultured prokaryote. Its description in RNAcentral is "partial 16S ribosomal RNA". It matches the Rfam family "Bacterial small subunit ribosomal RNA", at positions 524 to 803 of the family's 1533-position model. The record is from RNAcentral.
UACGUAGGGGCUAGCGUUAUCCGGAAUUACUGGGCGUAAAGGGUGCGUAGGUGGUUUCUUAAGUCAGAGGUAAAAGGCUACGGCUCAACCGUAGUAAGCCUUUGAAACUGGGAAACUUGAGUGCAGGAGAGGAGAGUGGAAUUCCUAGUGUAGCGGUGAAAUGCGUAGAUAUUAGGAGGAACACCAGUAGCGAAGGCGGCUCUCUGGACUGUAACUGACGCUGAGGCACGAAAGUGUGGGGAGCAAACAGGAUUAGAUACCCUGGUAGUCCCUGAGCGGG